UGGGGAAUUUUGGACAAUGGGCGAAAGCCUGAUCCAGCAAUGCCGCGUGUGUGAAGAGGGCCUUCGGGUUGUAAAGCACUUUUGUCCGGAAAGAAAUCCUUGGCUCUAAUACAGUCGGGGGAUGACGGUACCGGAAGAAUAAGCACCGGCUAACUACGUGCCAGCAGCCGCGGUAAUACGUAGGGUGCAAGCGUUAAUCGGAAUUACUGGGCGUAAAGCGUGCGCAGGCGGUUUGCUAAGACCGAUGUGAAAUCCCGGGCUCAACCUGGGAACUGCAUUGGUGACUGGGCAGGCUAGAGUAUGGCAAGAGGGGGGUAGAAUUCCACGUGUAGCAGUGAAAUGCGUAGAGAUGUGGAGGAAUACCGAUGGCGAAGGCAGCCCCCUGGGCCAAUACUGACGCUCAUGCACGAAAGCGUGGGGAGCAAACAGGAUUAGAUACCCUGGUAGUCCACGCCCUAAACGAUGUCAACUAGUUGUUGGGGAUUCAUUCCUUAGUAACGUAGCUAACGCGUGAAGUUGACCGCCU
RNAcentral lists this ribosomal RNA (526 nucleotides) under uncultured bacterium. RNAcentral's name for it is "partial 16S ribosomal RNA". It matches the Rfam family "Bacterial small subunit ribosomal RNA", at positions 355 to 874 of the family's 1533-position model. The record is from RNAcentral.